This 501-nucleotide ribosomal RNA is filed under the name uncultured bacterium. Its description in RNAcentral is "partial 16S ribosomal RNA". It matches the Rfam family "Bacterial small subunit ribosomal RNA", at positions 30 to 523 of the family's 1533-position model. The record is from RNAcentral.
AUUGAACGCUGGCGGAAUGCUUUACACAUGCAAGUCGAACGAUGAACCUUAGCUUGCUACUUUACCUAGCGGCGGACGGGUGAGUAACGCUUAGGAAUCUGCCUAUUAGUGGGGGACAACAUCUCGAAAGGGAUGCUAAUACCGCAUACGUCCUACGGGAGAAAGCAGGGGACCUUCGGGCCUUGCGCUAAUAGAUGAGCCUAAGUCGGAUUAGCUAGUUGGUGGGGUAAAGGCCUACCAAGGCGACGAUCUGUAGCGGGUCUGAGAGGAUGAUCCGCCACACUGGGACUGAGACACGGCCCAGACUCCUACGGGAGGCAGCAGUGGGGAAUAUUGGACAAUGGGGGGAACCCUGAUCCAGCCAUGCCGCGUGUGUGAAGAAGGCCUUUUGGUUGUAAAGCACUUUAAGCGAGGAGGAGGCUACCGAGAUUAAUACUCUUGGAUAGUGGACGUUACUCGCAGAAUAAGCACCGGCUAACUCUGUGCCAGCAGCCGCCGUAA